RNAcentral lists this transfer RNA (70 nucleotides) under Somniosus microcephalus (Greenland sleeper shark). Its description in RNAcentral is "tRNA-Tyr". It matches the Rfam family "tRNA". Rfam says of the family: Transfer RNA (tRNA) molecules are approximately 80 nucleotides in length. Their secondary structure includes four short double-helical elements and three loops (D, anti-codon, and T loops). The record is from RNAcentral. Lineage: Eukaryota; Metazoa; Chordata; Chondrichthyes; Squaliformes; Somniosidae. RNAcentral also lists the same sequence under 1 other name.
GGUAAGGUGACUGAGAAUUAAGUGGCGGAUUGUAAUCCCGUGAACAGAGGUUAAACCCCUCUUCUUACCA